GAUCCUGGCUCAGAUUGAACGCUGGCGGCAGGCCUAACACAUGCAAGUCGAACGGUAACAGGAAGCAGCUUGCUGUUUCGCUGACGAGUGGCGGACGGGUGAGUAAUGUCUGGGAAACUGCCUGAUGGAGGGGGAUAACUACUGGAAACGGUAGCUAAUACCGCAUAACGUCGCAAGACCAAAGAGGGGGACCUUCGGGCCUCUUGCCAUCGGAUGUGCCCAGAUGGGAUUAGCUAGUAGGG
RNAcentral lists this ribosomal RNA (242 nucleotides) under uncultured bacterium. RNAcentral's name for it is "partial 16S ribosomal RNA". It matches the Rfam family "Bacterial small subunit ribosomal RNA", at positions 15 to 253 of the family's 1533-position model. The record is from RNAcentral.